GUGUAAAAUAUCAAAGUUUCUGUUAUCUAAUACAGUACCUUCCACCAACUCUAAUGACUUUAUUUUAAUAUUCUUGCUGCUGGUGCACCGUUAUCUGAUCAUUGUUUAUAUUAAAUAUACAUGAUGCCAUUAUACGGUGAAACAAAUUGAAACCUCAACUAAUUGUGUUGACAUUAACACUUGCUACUGUUGAAUGUUGUUGUUUGAUCUUCUUAGCUAGAAGAUUUGGAUAGUACUUUCUUGAAUUCAACAUCACGAUCACCAUUUUGUAUAACCCAUUUAUAUAUUCGCAUAUUUACUUUUUCAGGUGGAAAACAAUCCAUACGAUCCCAGCCUGAUGGUUUUUAUGGAUUAUAGAGACUACUGGAAACAUAAAGUUCAAUUCUUAGAAGCACAAUAUCCAACAUUUCUGUAUGCCAUGCCUGUGUCCCCAACAAGAGUUUUCUUUGAGGUAUGCCUCUGGGACUACUUCAAUAAGAAGAAGCAAACUAUAUUAAUUCCAUGGAGAAGAUGGUGCUAUUUUUGUCCCUGGUGGUGUAGUUAGUAUAAAAUUGGGCGAUAUUAAGAAUCUAGUGCUUAUAUGGUGGAAGAAUUGUUAGACAUUAAUGUAUGUGAUAUUUGUGAAUAUUUGGAUGACAAUGUAUGAAUAUUUUGAAUGUUAUAUAAUAUAUGUUAUCGAUGGCAAUGUUA
Molecule: long non-coding RNA, 690 nt
Organism: Salvia miltiorrhiza (redroot sage)
Lineage: Eukaryota; Viridiplantae; Streptophyta; Magnoliopsida; Lamiales; Lamiaceae
Exons: 2
Source: RefSeq, a predicted model, not a curated record